Molecule: ribosomal RNA, 460 nt
Filed under: uncultured bacterium
Lineage: Bacteria
Description: partial 16S ribosomal RNA
Rfam family: Bacterial small subunit ribosomal RNA
Source: RNAcentral
CCUACGGGGGGCAGCAGUGAGGAAUAUUGGUCAAUGGACGCAAGUCUGAACCAGCCAUGUAGCGUGCAGGAUGACUGCCCUACGAGUUGUAAACUGCUUUUGUACGAGGAUAAAGGCAGACACGUGUACCUGUUUGAAUGUACUUUAUGAAUAAGGAUCGGCUAACUCCGUGCCAGCAGCCGCGGUAAUACGGAGGAUCCGAGCGUUAUCCGGAUUUAUUGGGUUUAAAGGGUGCGUAGGUGGUCGGAUAAGUUAGUGGUGAAAUCUCGAGGCUCAACUGUGAAAUUGCCACUGAUACUGGUAGUCUUGAGCAUAGUUGAGGUAGGCGGAAUGUGUGGUGUAGCGGUGAAAUGCUUAGAGAUCAUGCAGAACUCCGAUUGCGAAGGCAGCUUACCAAACUGCUACUGACAUUGAGGCUCGAAAGCGUGGGUAGCAAACAGGAUUAGAUACCCUUGUAGUC